This 623-nucleotide ribosomal RNA is filed under the name uncultured marine bacterium. RNAcentral describes it as "bacterial SSU rRNA". It matches the Rfam family "Bacterial small subunit ribosomal RNA", at positions 879 to 1501 of the family's 1533-position model. The record is from RNAcentral.
AGUACGGUCGCAAGAUUAAAACUCAAAUGAAUUGACGGGGGCCCGCACAAGCGGUGGAUUAUGUGGAUUAAUUCGAUGCAACGCGAAAAACCUUACCUGGCCUUGACAUGUACCGAAUUUAGCAGAGAUGCUUUAGUGCUCGAAAGAGAACGGUAACACAGGUGCUGCAUGGCUGUCGUCAGCUCGUGUCGUGAGAUGUUGGGUUAAGUCCCGCAACGAGCGCAACCCUUGCCAUUAAUUGCCAUCAUUUAGUUGGGCACUUUAAUGGGACUGCCGGUGACAAACCGGAGGAAGGUGGGGAUGACGUCAAGUCCUCAUGGCCCUUAUGGCCAGGGCUUCACACGUAAUACAAUGGUCGGUACAGAGGGAAGCCAACCCGCGAGGGGGAGCCAAUCUCAGAAAGCCGGUCGUAGUCCGGAUUGUUGUCUGCAACUCGACAGCAUGAAGUCGGAAUCGCUAGUAAUCGCGGAUCAGCAUGUCGCGGUGAAUACGUUCCCGGGCCUUGUACACACCGCCCGUCACACCAUGGGAGUGGGUUUUACCAGAAGUAGUUAGUCUAUCCGCAAGGGGGACGAUUACCACGGUAGGAUUCAUGACUGGGGUGAAGUCGUAACAAGGUAACC